This 794-nucleotide long non-coding RNA is filed under the name Calidris pugnax (ruff). RNAcentral's name for it is "lncRNA (ENSCPUG00000008047.1)". Lineage: Eukaryota; Metazoa; Chordata; Aves; Charadriiformes; Scolopacidae. The record is from RNAcentral.
ACGUACAGUAACCGGCUGCUCGUACGUAGCGCCGUUCGCAGCCGCUUGUAGCCCCCUCUGUCAAACGGGAAGUCCUUCUGUCAGUAGUAAAGCACUUACAAAUGAGUGUUUUGGAAUAAAAAAGAGCAUUCUUUAAGCACUUACAACUAGGUUCUGAAGAAUAGUACUUUCGGAAUAAAGGUUUUUACAAAGGAAAAUACGUAGAAAUGGAGAAGGCUAUUGGUCGCAUUCAAGAUCAUGGCUAUUCUGUACUGGAUUCCCCCAAGGCAAACCAGUCAUUUUCAAAAGUGGAUAAGCCACUGACUAAAGAACAAGAGGAAGACAAAGUGUCCAAAAAGGGCAACAGGAAAGCCAAACAAACAUCUGAAAAGCCUCCACAUCGCAGAGCUGAGGGCAGAAGCAAACAGAGAAGUAGCUCAAUAACUAUUAAGGAGAGCAAGGAUGUCAGUCUGCACACAAGGCUUGUGAAAAAGGGGGAUUAAUCCCUCUCCAAAAAGCACUGAGUCCGAGAUGGGCAUAGAAAAGGCAGCAGUGAGGACAUCCUAAGGAAGCGGUGAGGACAUCCUGAGGAUGCGGAGACAGAGCACCCUGUGUAUCAUCCACGGAGAAACUGCUUUUCCAAUGGCACUGGGAUGCAUUAGCGAUAAGGAACGUUAUCUGAUGUUUACUCUGAUUCAUCUUUUCUAUUCACUAAUGGAUUCUCUCUCCAGAGCUUUCAGUGCUUCUUCCUUCCGUAGAUACAAACACGAUAAAAAAUGCUUUAAAAAAAUCAAUAAACACUUAAGUGUUUGACA